UGUGCUUCCUUCUUGAGUUUAGAUAUAUU
Molecule: non-coding RNA, 29 nt
Filed under: Mus musculus (house mouse)
Lineage: Eukaryota; Metazoa; Chordata; Mammalia; Rodentia; Muridae
Source: RNAcentral